ACCAGACUCCUACGGGAGGCAGCAGUGGGGAAUAUUGCACAAUGGGGGAAACCCUGAUGCAGCGACGCCGCGUGGAGGAAGAAGGUCUUCGGAUUGUAAACUCCUGUCCUUGGGGACGAUAAUGACGGUACUCAAGGAGGAAGCACCGGCUAACUACGUGCCAGCAGCCGCGGUAAAACGUAGGGUGCAAGCGUUGUCCGGAUUUACUGGGUGUAAAGGGCGUGUAGCCGGGCCGGCAAGUCAGAUGUGAAAUCCCAAGGCUCAACCUUGGAACUGCAUUUGAAACUGUUGGUCUUGAGUAUCGGAGAGGCAGGCGGAAUUCCUAGUGUAGCGGUGAAAUGCGUAGAUAUUAGGAGGAACACCAGUGGCGAAGGCGGCCUGCUGGACGACAACUGACGGUGAGGCGCGAAAGCGUGGGGAGCAAACAGGAUUAGAUACCCGAGUAU
Molecule: ribosomal RNA, 446 nt
Filed under: uncultured bacterium
Lineage: Bacteria
Description: bacterial SSU rRNA
Rfam family: Bacterial small subunit ribosomal RNA
Source: RNAcentral